RNAcentral lists this ribosomal RNA (443 nucleotides) under uncultured bacterium. RNAcentral describes it as "partial 16S ribosomal RNA". It matches the Rfam family "Bacterial small subunit ribosomal RNA", at positions 338 to 795 of the family's 1533-position model. The record is from RNAcentral.
CCUACGGGGCGCAGCAGUGGGGAAUAUUGGGCAAUGGGCGCAAGCCUGACCCAGCAACGCCGCGUGAAGGAAGAAGGCUCUCGGGUUGUAAACUUCUUUUAUCAGGGACGAAGCAAGUGACGGUACCUGAUGAAUAAGCCACGGCUAACUACGUGCCAGCAGCCGCGGUAAUACGUAGGUGGCAAGCGUUAUCCGGAUUUACUGGGUGUAAAGGGCGUGUAGGCGGGAAAGCAAGUUAGAUGUGAAAACCAUGGGCUCAACCUGUGGCCUGCAUUUGAAACUGGUUUUCUUGAGUACUGGAGAGGCAGAUGGAAUUCCUAGUGUAGCGGUGAAAUGCGUAGAUAUUAGGAGGAACACCAGUGGCGAAGGCGGUCUGCUGGACAGCAACUGACGCUGAGGCGCGAAAGCGUGGGGAGCAAACAGGAUUAGAUACCCGGGUAGUC